UACGUAGGUGGCAAGCGUUGUCCGGAAUUAUUGGGCGUAAAGCGCGCGCAGGCGGUUCUUUAAGUCUGAUGUGAAAGCCCACGGCUCAACCGUGGAGGGUCAUUGGAAACUGGGAGAACUUGAGUACAGAAGAGGAAAGCGGAAUUCCGGGUGUAGCGGUGGAAUGCGUAGAGAUCCGGAAGAACACCCGGUGGCGCAAGGCGGCUAGCUCGUGGGAUCGGUACUGGACGCUGAGACGCGAAAGCGUGGG
RNAcentral lists this ribosomal RNA (250 nucleotides) under uncultured bacterium. RNAcentral describes it as "partial 16S ribosomal RNA". It matches the Rfam family "Bacterial small subunit ribosomal RNA", at positions 524 to 765 of the family's 1533-position model. The record is from RNAcentral.